This 482-nucleotide ribosomal RNA is filed under the name uncultured bacterium. RNAcentral's name for it is "partial 16S ribosomal RNA". It matches the Rfam family "Bacterial small subunit ribosomal RNA", at positions 28 to 523 of the family's 1533-position model. The record is from RNAcentral.
GACGAACGCUGGCGGCGUGCUUAACACAUGCAAGUCGAACGGUGAAGUAGAGCUUGCUCUAUGGAUCAGUGGCGAACGGGUGAGUAACACGUGGGCAACCUGCCCCAGACUCUGGGAUAACUCCUCGAAAGAGGGGCUAAUACCGGAUAUUUGCAUUGCAAGACACCUUGUGAUGCAGAAAGAAUUUCGGUCUGGGAUGGGCCCGCGGCCUAUCAGCUUGUCGGUGAGGUAACGGCUCACCAAGGCGACGACGGGUAGCCGGCCUGAGAGGGCGACCGGCCACACUGGGACUGAGACACGGCCCAGACUCCUACGGGAGGCAGCAGUGGGGAAUAUUGGGCAAUGGGCGCAAGCCUGACCCAGCAACGCCGCGUGAGGGAUGAAGGUCCUCGGAUUGUAAACCUCUUUCAGCAGGGACGAAGCGAAAGUGACGGUACCUGCAGAAGAAGCACCGGCUAACUACGUGCCAGCCGCCGCAGUAA